GCCCUCCCUUCUCCACCUCUUCCAGCUGGCAGUCCGACUUACCCACUCCAGCACCCUCAGGAAAGCCAGGGGCUCCUUCAGCGCCCGGAAGGUUCCCUUGGAGGCGAGCUGGUGGGGGGGGGGGGGAGAGAGAGAAAAGCCAGUGAGGGCAGAGUUAGGGCAGGAGGGGUGCCAACCCCCGUGGCGAAGCCUCCCGGCGCGCGCGCUUCCCCCUGCCUCCCUCCCUCCCUCCCUCCGGCGCCCUUACCUGGUUAACGGGUUCCAUCCCUGCCCGGCUUUUGGCGCGCAAACUUCAGCUUCCCCGGAGGAGGCGGCGUCCAGGUGCAAGGAGCGCCCUGGAGAGGCUCUAGGCGGCUUGCCCGCGCCGAGCAAGGCAGCCGAGGAGCCCGGGUUGGAGCGAGCGAGGCGGGCGGGGGGGAAAAACCCAGAAGAGCUGAGCUCCCAGCGAACAUCCACGCCCGAGCCGAGCGCGCAGGGCGGAGGGAAGGAGAGGAGGAGGAGGAGGAGGUGGGGUGGGCUGCCCGGGCUCGCCGCUCUGCCGCGCUUUAGUCGCCUGAAGAAGCGAGUGCGAGGUGGCCGGGCCGCUGCUUGAGAGAGGAGGGGGACGCUUCAGCCGCUCGCUUCGCCUUCUCACGGGCUGAGCGCUUCUCCCCUCACAAACCUCUGGACGGUGCUGGCGCGCUUCCUCAGCAUGUCGAAGCGGAGGCAGAAAUAAGAACAGGAGGAGGACUUUUUGAAGAGAGGGGACGCGCUGCCACUCCGGCGCGUUUUUUCCCGCGCAGCGUCCCUGCGAAUAGCGGCGCGCUCGCUUCAGUCGGCGUCUUCCCGCCGAGGGAAGAGCUGCGCCCUCCCUCUCGCGCGCGGUGUGGGACUCGUAGCCCGAUCCUACGUCUCCUCAGAAGCCGCCUUAUACCGAGUCAGAGCACUGGCCCGUCUAGCUCAGUAAAGCCUACACUGUCUGGCAGCAGCUACAUGGAGAGGCCUGGGGUUGACCCCGGGACCUUUUGCUUGCAAGGCGGACCCUCUACCACUAUCUAUGGCCCUUCCCCUCUUACUUGGGAGUAAGCCCCAGUAGGGGUGACAGCACAGUCCGUGUGUGCAAAUGCCAUAAGCAAAAAUAAACCCCUGCCUCCAAGGAGUUUACAGUCUGAAAUAAGCAAUGGGGAAAGCAAUAGAGGGAGCAGUGGAUGCAGAUAAUGUUUACUACACCAUGUAUGCGGUUUAGCCCUGUCUCUCCCUCUGUGUGUAUUUUUCUCACAGUUAAGCUAAAUUAGAUUUCUUUCCAGCAUGUAUGCGCUAGGUUUGUACACAUCCUCAGCAAAUGUACAGUGCAAUCCUAACCAUGCCUACCAUGAGAAGCAGGUCUUACUGAAUUGAGUGGGGCUUGCACCUGGGUAAAUGGGGUUGUCUCCCUAAUCUAGGAGUCAGCACUAUUCAUUGAUCACCAGUGGGAUUUGCUUCACUGGAAGCUGACAUGCAGAGGACUAGGCUGCAUAAGGAAGUGGGUAGAAAGCAAGCCAAAGAGGUAACUACAGCCAAGUCGUCUGAGGGUUUUAUGGCUGCAAUGAUGUGCUACUCUUUGGACUGGCAGAGAUCAGCAUGAGGAUUAGCACAGUGUGACCUACAGGUGUUGGGCAAUGGCAUGCUUCUUUGGCAGCACACCAAUUAGAGCCUUAAAAGUCCUCUAAUUAUAUGCUCCUCUUCAUGGAAACUAAAACCUCAUUAAAGAGUCACUGUUGUUGUUUUUUGCAGCGUUCCUCACAAUAUCGAGAUAAAACAUCCCGGAACAUCACACAUCACUUGAAAUGCUACACUGUUUUGAACACACCAGCUUGGCUGCUGCCUUUCUUCAAGCACCAAGGGGACAUUCUUGAGUGUAUUUAUUUAGAACACACCAUUGGGAUGUGUGCCACUUGAAUCCCGAAUGGAUUCUUCCUCUGGGGUGCAAGCAGGAGGCUGCUAUUCUACCCCUCAAGCAAAUCUAAAUGAGAGGAGGCAUGGCAUGAAGGGUUCCUGUGAGGCCUCUGCCUCUCUUCUCGAUGGGGCACAUUUCUGAGGAGCAACAGAGUGGAAUUCCUGACAUUAUUCCUCCACCCCAAGGAAGAAAAACAGAACCCAGAGGAGUGUACGUAAAGCUCUGGGUGUCAUAAAAAUGCAAAUACAUGUAAUGGAAAAGUUUCGGCAUUUUAAACCCUGCCCCCCAUGACUCUGCUUGAUCCCUCUGUUUCUACAGCUAUCCUCCCACCCCUUCUUUCUUGAUCUUUGCUACCUCAAUGUUUAUGAGACAUUUUAAAAAUACAGUGGUACCUCGGGUUGCAUACACUUCAGGUUACAGACUCCACUAACCCGGAAAUAGUGCUUCAGGUUAAGAAUUUUGCUUCAGGAUGAGAACAGAAAUUGUGCUCCGGCGGCAUGGCAGCAGCAGGAGGCCCCAUUAGCUAAAGUGGUGCUUCAGGUUAAGAACAGUUUCAGGUUAAGUACGGACCUCCGGAAUGAAUUAAGUACUUAACCCGAGGUACCACUGUAUGGGAAACACAAAUUUGCAAUUUGGAAAACUUUAUUUCUUAAAAGAGAACCAAACCUUGAAAGCAGAAGAAAGGAAGAGAGCGCUAAAGCUCUAACCAAAAGCUUAUUCACAUAAGAUAGAAUACAUGAUCAUUUAAAUAUUUCCAAGCCCUGUUUUAGAUUCUGCCCCAUAUCUACAUUUGUAUUUGCACUUUACCCAAUUCGAAUUCCCUAUUACAAUCUGAUUUCACGCCUGCAUUAACUUAUGAAAUUACCUGUUCUACCUCUCAGAAUAUUCACACUUAACUUUGCUUAAGCAUUUACUUCGUUAGCUUUGGUUUUGAAAUCCCUAAAUAUCUCCAGAUGUUGUUGGACUACAGUUCCCUGGCCUUAUGACAUGGUGGCUAGGGCUGAAAGGAGUUUGAAUCCAGCAACUUCUGCAGGGCCACAGGUUAGCCAACCUGCCACAAGUGGGCUGUGGUAUUUCAGAAACAGCCCCUCUUAGAUUAACCCUGUUCAAGAACUUUGUGUAGUUUCUGAGGCCCUUUCUCAUGGUCCACCCCCACUGGCAGAGGUGUGGUUGGUGAGAACAAGACAGAACAUCAUUUUGAUUGUGGCACCCAGAUUAUGGAAUGACCUCACUCAGCAUGAUUCUUUGGCCUCCUCUGCCUGCUUUUUAGAGGUAAGAGUAGUCUGGUCAGCUGUUUCUAUCCUGAAGGAUUGAAGUAAUUGUUGGGGAAUAAUCUGUGUAAUACUUUUGCCAUGAUCUAAAACAGAAAUACUACUGUAUAUGACUAUUUAUUGAUUCUCACCUCAUUAUUUUUUAAAAACAAAGAAUGGAAAGCUGAUUUUUCCACAUUUGCAUCUGUUUUAAAAGCUAGCUUGAAUAUGUAACACACAGGAUCAGACCAAUAGAUUUAUGUGUUGAAAUAAUUGUCUCAUUUUCAUCAUAGGACUAUAGGACACUCUCUCACGCUGAGUCAAGGCCAUUGGUCCAUCUAGUUCAGCACGGUCUACUCCGGCAGCAGCUAUCAAAGUUUCAGACAGGACACUCUCAGCUUUCCCCAGAAAUGCCAGGAAUUGAACCUGGAAACUUCUGCAUGGAAAGAAAAUACUCUACUGCAGAGCUAUGGCCUUUCACCAUGAGCUAAGCCCACGAGUUAAUGGAAAUUGCAAUAUUUAGAAAUGUUGCAACUUAGUUAUUAAAAAAAUUAAAGCCCUCCAAAUAAAAUAACCAGCAGAAUCUCUAAAGAUCAUCCCAGGAGGGACUGUGUAAUGGGAUGUUUCUCUAGCCCCUUAAUAAAAACUGCAUUU
Non-coding RNA from Podarcis lilfordi (Lilford's wall lizard), 3819 nucleotides. The record is from the annotation of a GenBank genome assembly. NCBI's taxonomy places the organism in Eukaryota, Metazoa, Chordata, Lepidosauria, Squamata, Lacertidae.